AACGAACGCUGGCGGCAUGCCUAACACAUGCAAGUCGAACGAGACCUUCGGGUCUAGUGGCGCACGGGUGCGUAACGCGUGGGAACCUGCCCUUAGGUUCGGAAUAACUCCCCGAAAGGGGUGCUAAUACCGGAUAAUGUCUUCGGACCAAAGAUUUAUCGCCUUUGGAUGGGCCCGCGUUGGAUUAGCUAGUUGGUAGGGUAAAAGCCUACCAAGGCGACGAUCCAUAGCUGGUCUGAGAGGAUGAUCAGCCACACUGGGACUGAGACACGGCCCAGACUCCUACGGGAAGCAGCAGUGGGGAAUAUUGGACAAUGGGCUAUAGCCUGAUCCAGCAAUGCCGCGUGAGUGAUGAAGGCCUUAGGGUUGUAAAGCUCUUUUACCCGGGAUGAUAAUGACAGUACCGGGAGAAUAAGCUCCGGCUAACUCCGUG
RNAcentral lists this ribosomal RNA (433 nucleotides) under uncultured bacterium. RNAcentral's name for it is "partial 16S ribosomal RNA". It matches the Rfam family "Bacterial small subunit ribosomal RNA", at positions 29 to 507 of the family's 1533-position model. The record is from RNAcentral.